UACGUAGGGUGCUAGCGUUGUUCAGAAUCAUUGGGCGUAAAGCGCGUGUAGGCGGUUAGUUAAGUCGGGUGUGAAAUCCCUGGGCUCAACCGAGGAAGUGCAUCCGAAACUAACUAGCUAGAGAAUGGUAGAGGAAGGUGGAAUUCCGUGUGUAGAGGUGAAAUUCGUAGAUAUACGGAGGAAUACCGGUGGCGAAGGCGGCCUUCUGGACCAUUUCUGACGCUGAGACGCGAAAGCGUGGGGAGCAAACAGG
Molecule: ribosomal RNA, 253 nt
Filed under: uncultured bacterium
Lineage: Bacteria
Description: partial 16S ribosomal RNA
Rfam family: Bacterial small subunit ribosomal RNA
Source: RNAcentral